Molecule: RNA transcript, 2631 nt
Organism: Salvia miltiorrhiza (redroot sage)
Lineage: Eukaryota; Viridiplantae; Streptophyta; Magnoliopsida; Lamiales; Lamiaceae
Gene name: probable pectinesterase/pectinesterase inhibitor 51
Exons: 4
Source: RefSeq, a predicted model, not a curated record
CCCCCUCUGUCUUCAUUGAACACCAGAUCUCCAAGUAUUGAGAAAAGGACAAAACCCAGUGGCAGCCAAGGCCCACUCCUACAUUCCCAAACUCACAAGUCUCAAAUAAAUCAUCUCCCAUUCUCUCUGUGUGCUCUGUGCUUUCCCAACUCCCAUUAUCCCACCGUCCACUCCACUCCCGUGACUCCACUUCCAUCUUCACUACCCUCCAUUAUAACCGAACCAUUUUCUUAUCCACUUUUAUUAAUUCAUUCCUAAUCCUAAUUAAAUCCCUGAUUGCGACCUAUAAUUCACCACAACUAAUUCCAUCAUCAAAAUUAUGCAGCUCCGACGUCCUUUAAAACCCCCUUCACACCCCAUUCUCCCCUCCCCCACAGACACCACAAACCAAAAGCAUUCCCACAAACUCAAAUCCAUGGCCGCUCUCCUCUCCUUCGCCCUCCUCUCCCUCCUCCUCUUCUUCACCCUCUCCUCCGCCGCCCGCCACCGCAAACCCUACCAGACCUCCGCCGCCACCAACAUUGUCCAGGAGCUCUGCAAGGCCUCACGGGACCCUCCCAGCUGCCGAUCAUCGCUGCCCGAAUUGCCGCCGGACGCCACGGUUUUGCAAGGGAUCCAAUCGGCUCUGCAGGUUUCCUCGAAGAAUCUGAACACGGGUCGGGGGAUGGUCCAGCAGAUCCUGGACGCGUCCGCCACCAAUCCCAACCGCUCCGCCGCCGCGAAAACCUGCCUCGAAUUGCUGCGCUACGCGGAUCACCGGGCGAAUCUGGCGGGAGCCGACGCUCUGCCACGUGGAAGGACCAAGGACGCCCGUGCAUGGAUGAGCGCCUCGCUGGUCUAUCAGUACGACUGCUGGUCGGCGCUCAAGUACGUGAACGACACCUCCCUCGUCGACAAAACCAUGGCGUUUUUCUACUCCUCCGUGAUCGGCUCCGGCAGCAAUGCGCUGGGGAUGGUGGCGAGUUAUGAUAUUUUCGGGGAUAGAACCGGGUUGUGGGGCCCGCCCAAGACCGAGCGGGACGGGCUCUGGGAACCCGGGUCCGCCUCGCCCAGGUCCGGCCUGACCGGAGGCGUGCCGACCGGGCUGAAGGCGGACGCUACGGUGUGCAAGGGGUGCGACUACGAGAGCGUGCAGCGGGCGGUGGAUGCCGCCCCGAAUAACGCCGGGCCGGGCAGCCGGUUCGUGAUAUGGAUCAAGGCCGGAGUUUAUGAGGAGACGGUUCGGGUGCCCUUGGAGAAGAAGAAUGUGGUUUUUUUGGGGGAUGGGAUGGGCAAAACGGUCAUUACAGGGUCCAUGAACGUGGGCCAGCAGGGCGUGUCUACCUACAACUCCGCCACAGUCGCUGUUGUUGGUGAUGGAUUUAUGGCCAGUGGUCUCACCAUCCAGAACACAGCAGGCCCUGAUGCUCAUCAAGCAGUAGCGUUCCGGUCAGACAGCGAUCUCUCCGUCGUGGAAAAUUGUGAAUUCCUUGGCAAUCAAGACACCCUGUACGCACACAGCUUGCGCCAGUACUACAAGUCAUGCCGCAUCCAAGGCAAUGUCGAUUUCAUAUUCGGAAACUCCGCUGCAUUCUUCCAAGACUGUCUCGUCCUGGUUGCCCCUCGCCAAUUGAAACCAGAGAAGGGCGAGAACAAUGCCGUGACAGCCCAAGGAAGGAUAGAUCCCGCUCAAUCAACGGGUUUCGUCUUCCAAGAUUGCGUGAUCAACGGCACGGAUGCGUACAUGGCGCUGUAUUACAGCAAGCCCAAGGUACACAAGAACUUCCUUGGUAGGCCAUGGAAAGAGUAUUCGAGGACUGUUUUCAUCCAUUGUACCUUCGAGGCUCUAAUCACACCAGAUGGUUGGAUGCCUUGGAGUGGCGAUUUCGCACUCAAGACCUUGUAUUACGGUGAGUUUGAAAAUCGAGGACCGGGAUCGGAUAUAUCGAAGCGAGUAAGCUGGAGCAGCCAGAUUCCGGCCGAGCAUGCUGAUGUGUUUUCGGUGGGGAAUUUCAUCCAAGGCAAUGAAUGGAUCCCUGCAUUUUCGCCGUGAAAUCGACCUCUCCUAUUGCAGUUGCAGAAUUAUUGUAAAUGGGGCAACAGAUCGAUUGUACUAGACAGGAAAUGUCUCAGACUAAUGAUGUGUCUGAAUACUCCUCGAUUGGUCAUGGUAAUGCUAUGUUUUGAAGAGAGAAUAAAUUUGAAGUGUGGAGGCGGCUGAAGUGAGAAUUGGCUCUUGUUGACGUAGCUGGAUUGCCUUAGAGCGUCCAUCCAAAUUGCAACUUGAACCGUUAAGAAAUCCCAACUCUGUUGCGCCAACUAUCGACUCAAUUGCUCAACGUUCGACAACGAAAUUGACGGACAAUCCAACCAAAGGGCUUUAAACGCCCUCGGUCUAUUUUGAGUUUCGACAUUAAGCCCAUAUUUGAUUGAGUGUUUUUGGAGGUUGGAAAUGGAUUCAAUUAAUUGAAUCUAUUAUUUGUUGUUUGAUUUGGAUAAUGUGUUAACCAUUACCCUUACUUGAGAGUAACCCAAUCUCCCAAAUUGUUAUUCCUCAAAAUAGAGGGGAAACAAAAGAAUGAAAAUUCCUUAGUAAUGAUUCUUUUCCAUUGCUAAUCAAACACUCAAUAAAAAUAAUAGUUAUUGCUAUCA